GGUGUUGGUCUAUUUUAAUAGUAAACCUUUCUGACAGAAAAUAAUUGAUGUCUGGUCGUCAACAGUAUAAGAAACCUUUGCCAUCAAGUGUGUGGAGACAGUAAACAACCUUGACAUGAUAUUUCCUCUCAGCAAUACAAGAAAGCAUCCUACUUCUCUCUUCCAUGAGAUGAGAAAUGCCUUUGGCUACACCAGCCUAAUUAGCA
RNAcentral lists this long non-coding RNA (206 nucleotides) under Elaeis guineensis (African oil palm). RNAcentral describes it as "long non-coding RNA (EGUI_LNC014899)". Lineage: Eukaryota; Viridiplantae; Streptophyta; Magnoliopsida; Arecales; Arecaceae. The record is from RNAcentral.